AGUAAAUAGAUACCCGGGUAGUCCACGCCGUAAACGAUGAGUACUAGGUGUAGGAGGUAUCGACUCCUUCUGUGCCGCAGUUAAACACAAUAAGUACUCCGCCUGGGAAGUACGGUCGCAAGAUUAAAACUCAAAGGAAUUGACGGGGGCCCGGCCACAAGCAGCGGAGCAUGUGGUUUAAAUUUCGAAGCAACGCGAAGAACCUUACCUAGACUUGACAUCUCCUGAAUAGUGUAGAGAUACAUGAAGCCCUUCGGGGCAGGAAGACAGGUGGUGCAUGGUUGUCGUCAGCUCGUGUCGUGAGAUGUUGGGUUAAGGUCCCGCAACGAGCGCAACCCUUAUUACUAGUUGCUACCAUUAAGUUGAGCACUCUAGUGAGACUG
RNAcentral lists this ribosomal RNA (383 nucleotides) under uncultured bacterium. RNAcentral describes it as "bacterial SSU rRNA". It matches the Rfam family "Bacterial small subunit ribosomal RNA", at positions 775 to 1151 of the family's 1533-position model. The record is from RNAcentral.